GUGGGGAAUCUUGCGCAAUGGGCGAAAGCCUGACGCAGCCAUGCCGCGUGAAUGAUGAAGGUCUUCGGAUUGUAAAGCACUUUAAGUUGGGAGGAAGGGCAGUAAGUUAAUACCUUGCUGUUUUGACGUUACCGACAGAAUAAGCACCGGCUAACUUCGUGCCAGCAGCCGCGGUAAUACGAAGGGUGCAAGCGUUAAUCGGAAUUACUGGGCGUAAAGCGCGCGUAGGUGGUUUUGUAAGUUGGAGGUGAAAUCCCCGGGCUCAACCUGGGAACUGCCUCCAAAACUGCAUGACUAGAGUACGGUAGAGGGUAGUGGAAUUUCCUGUGUAGCGGUGAAAUGCGUAGAUAUAGGAAGGAACACCAGUGGCGAAGGCGACUACCUGGACUGAUACUGACACUGAGGUGCGAAAGCGUGGGGAGCAAACAGGAUUAGAAACCCGGGUAGUCC
Molecule: ribosomal RNA, 450 nt
Filed under: uncultured bacterium
Lineage: Bacteria
Description: partial 16S ribosomal RNA
Rfam family: Bacterial small subunit ribosomal RNA
Source: RNAcentral